This 68-nucleotide transfer RNA is filed under the name Marmota monax (woodchuck). Its description in RNAcentral is "tRNA.Ala". The record is from RNAcentral. Lineage: Eukaryota; Metazoa; Chordata; Mammalia; Rodentia; Sciuridae.
GGAUUGUGGCUCAGUGGCAGAGUACUUGCCUCGCAUGUAUGAGGCACUGGGUUCAAUCUUCAGCACCA